UGGGGAAUUUUGGACAAUGGGCGAAAGCCUGAUCCAGCAAUGCCGCGUGUGUGAAGAAGGCCUUCGGGUUGUAAAGCACUUUUGUCCGGAAAGAAAUCCUUGGCUCUAAUACAGUCGGGGGAUGACGGUACCGGAAGAAUAAGCACCGGCUAACUACGUGCCAGCAGCCGCGGUAAUACGUAGGGUGCAAGCGUUAAUCGGAAUUACUGGGCGUAAAGCGUGCGCAGGCGGUUUGCUAAGACCGAUGUGAAAUCCCCGGGCCCAACCUGGGAACUGCAUUGGUGACUGGCAGGCUAGAGUAUGGCAGAGGGGGGCUAGAAUUCCACGUGUAGCAGUGAAAUGCGUAGAGAUGUGGAGGAAUACCGAUGGCGAAGGCAGCCCCCUGGGCCAAUACUGACGCUCAUGCACGAAAGCGUGGGGAGCAAACAGGAUUAGAUACCCUGGUAGUCCACGCCCUAAACGAUGUCAACUAGUUGUUGGGGAUUCAUUUCCUUAGUAACGUAGCUAACGCAGUGAAGUUGACCGCCUGGGGAGUACGG
Molecule: ribosomal RNA, 539 nt
Filed under: uncultured bacterium
Lineage: Bacteria
Description: partial 16S ribosomal RNA
Rfam family: Bacterial small subunit ribosomal RNA
Source: RNAcentral